RNAcentral lists this unclassified non-coding RNA (218 nucleotides) under uncultured Tomentella. Its description in RNAcentral is "sequence contains ITS2". The record is from RNAcentral. Lineage: Eukaryota; Fungi; Basidiomycota; Agaricomycetes; Thelephorales; Thelephoraceae.
ACACCUCAACCCUCACGGUUCCUCGUGAUGGGCUUGGACUUGGGGGCUUUGUUGGCCUGUGGUCAGCUCUCCUCAAAUAAAUCAGCUCGCCAGUGUCUGGCGGCAUCAUGGGUGUGAUAACCAUCUACGCUUGUGAUCGCCUGCGAGGUAAACCUCUGGUCUGCAGAGGUUCACUGGAGCUUAUAGAUGUCUCUCCUCUGUGAAGACAGCUUUCUGAA